RNAcentral lists this ribosomal RNA (208 nucleotides) under uncultured bacterium. Its description in RNAcentral is "partial 16S ribosomal RNA". It matches the Rfam family "Bacterial small subunit ribosomal RNA", at positions 1284 to 1500 of the family's 1533-position model. The record is from RNAcentral.
GGUCUCAGUUCAGAUUGCAGGCUGCAACCCGCCUGCAUGAAGUCGGAAUUGCUAGUAAUCGCGGAUCAGCAUGCCGCGGUGAAUAGUUCCCGGGCCUUGUACACACCGCCCGUCAAGCCAUGGGAGCCGGGGGGUACCUGAAGUCCGUAACCGCGAGGAUCGGCCUAGGGUAAAACUGGUGACUGGGGCUAAGUCGUAACAAGGUACC